GCGCUUGUAGCUCAGUGGAUAGAGCGCAGCCUUGCGGAGGCUGAAGUCGCAGGUUCGAAUCCUGUCAAGCGCG
RNAcentral lists this transfer RNA (73 nucleotides) under Chloroflexota bacterium. RNAcentral's name for it is "tRNA-Arg". It matches the Rfam family "tRNA". Rfam says of the family: Transfer RNA (tRNA) molecules are approximately 80 nucleotides in length. Their secondary structure includes four short double-helical elements and three loops (D, anti-codon, and T loops). Further hydrogen bonds mediate the characteristic L-shaped molecular structure. tRNAs have two regions of fundamental functional importance: the anti-codon, which is responsible for specific mRNA codon recognition, and the 3' end, to which the tRNAs corresponding amino acid is attached (by aminoacyl-tRNA synthetases). tRNAs cope with the degeneracy of the genetic code in two manners: having more than one tRNA (with a specific anti-codon) for a particular amino acid; and 'wobble' base-pairing, i.e. permitting non-standard base-pairing at the 3rd anti-codon position. Lineage: Bacteria; Bacillati; Chloroflexota. The record is from RNAcentral. RNAcentral also lists the same sequence under 1 other name.